GAUGAACGCUGGCGGCGUGCUUAACACAUGCAAGUCGAACGGUGAAGCCAAGCUUGCUUGGUGGAUCAGUGGCGAACGGGUGAGUAACACGUGAGCAACCUGCCCUGGACUCUGGGAUAAGCGCUGGAAACGGCGUCUAAUACUGGAUAUGAGCCUCUUCCGCAUGGUGGGGGUUGGAAAGAUUUUUUGGUCUGGGAUGGGCUGGCGGCCUAUCAGCUUGUUGGUGAGGUAAUGGCUCACCAAGGCGUCGACGGGUAGCCGGCCUGAGAGGGUGACCGGCCACACUGGGACUGAGACACGGCCCAGACUCCUACGGGAGGCAGCAGUGGGGAAUAUUGCACAAUGGGCGAAAGCCUGAUGCAGCAACGCCGCGUGAGGGAUGACGGCCUUCGGGUUGUAAACCUCUUUUAGCAGGGAAGAAGCGAAAGUGACGGUACCUGCAGAAAAAGCGCCGGCUAACUACGUG
Molecule: ribosomal RNA, 466 nt
Filed under: uncultured bacterium
Lineage: Bacteria
Description: partial 16S ribosomal RNA
Rfam family: Bacterial small subunit ribosomal RNA
Source: RNAcentral